RNAcentral lists this ribosomal RNA (1506 nucleotides) under metagenome. RNAcentral describes it as "bacterial SSU rRNA". It matches the Rfam family "Bacterial small subunit ribosomal RNA". The record is from RNAcentral.
AGAGUUUGAUCCUGGCUCAGGACGAACGCUGGCGGCGUGCCUAAUACAUGCAAGUAGAACGCUGAAGAGAGGAGCUUGCUCUUCUUGGAUGAGUUGCGAACGGGUGAGUAACGCGUAGGUAACCUGCCUUGUAGCGGGGGAUAACUAUUGGAAACGAUAGCUAAUACCGCAUAACAAUGGAUGACCCAUGUCAUUUAUUUGAAAGGGGCAAAUGCUCCACUACAAGAUGGACCUGCGUUGUAUUAGCUAGUAGGUGAGGUAACGGCUCACCUAGGCGACGAUACAUAGCCGACCUGAGAGGGUGAUCGGCCACACUGGGACUGAGACACGGCCCAGACUCCUACGGGAGGCAGCAGUAGGGAAUCUUCGGCAAUGGGGGCAACCCUGACCGAGCAACGCCGCGUGAGUGAAGAAGGUUUUCGGAUCGUAAAGCUCUGUUGUAAGUCAAGAACGAGUGUGAGAGUGGGAAGUUCACACUGUGACGGUAGCUUACCAGAAAGGGACGGCUAACUACGUGCCAGCAGCCGCGGUAAUACGUAGGUCCCGAGCGUUGUCCGGAUUUAUUGGGCGUAAAGCGAGCGCAGGCGGUUUGAUAAGUCUGAAGUUAAAGGCUGUGGCUCAACCAUAGUUCGCUUUGGAAACUGUCAAACUUGAGUGCAGAAGGGGAGAGUGGAAUUCCAUGUGUAGCGGUGAAAUGCGUAGAUAUAUGGAGGAACACCGGUGGCGAAAGCGGCUCUCUGGUCUGUAACUGACGCUGAGGCUCGAAAGCGUGGGGAGCGAACAGGAUUAGAUACCCUGGUAGUCCACGCCGUAAACGAUGAGUGCUAGGUGUUGGAUCCUUUCCGGGAUUCAGUGCCGCAGCUAACGCAUUAAGCACUCCGCCUGGGGAGUACGACCGCAAGGUUGAAACUCAAAGGAAUUGACGGGGGCCCGCACAAGCGGUGGAGCAUGUGGUUUAAUUCGAAGCAACGCGAAGAACCUUACCAGGUCUUGACAUCCCGAUGCUAUUUCUAGAGAUAGAAAGUUACUUCGGUACAUCGGUGACAGGUGGUGCAUGGUUGUCGUCAGCUCGUGUCGUGAGAUGUUGGGUUAAGUCCCGCAACGAGCGCAACCCCUAUUGUUAGUUGCCAUCAUUCAGUUGGGCACUCUAGCGAGACUGCCGGUAAUAAACCGGAGGAAGGUGGGGAUGACGUCAAAUCAUCAUGCCCCUUAUGACCUGGGCUACACACGUGCUACAAUGGUUGGUACAACGAGUUGCGAGUCGGUGACGGCAAGCUAAUCUCUUAAAGCCAAUCUCAGUUCGGAUUGUAGGCUGCAACUCGCCUACAUGAAGUCGGAAUCGCUAGUAAUCGCGGAUCAGCACGCCGCGGUGAAUACGUUCCCGGGCCUUGUACACACCGCCCGUCACACCACGAGAGUUUGUAACACCCGAAGUCGGUGAGGUAACCUUUUGGAGCCAGCCGCCUAAGGUGGGAUAGAUGAUUGGGGUGAAGUCGUAACAAGGUA